GAAAAGUUAGUUAAAAAUAACAUAAAAUUGUCAAUUUUAAAUUACUACCCAACUAGUACUUUUCU
RNAcentral lists this transfer RNA (65 nucleotides) under Adinaefiola ligulata. Its description in RNAcentral is "tRNA-Asp". The record is from RNAcentral. Lineage: Eukaryota; Metazoa; Mollusca; Cephalopoda; Sepiida; Sepiolidae.